This 1048-nucleotide long non-coding RNA is filed under the name Zonotrichia albicollis (white-throated sparrow). Its description in RNAcentral is "lncRNA (ENSZALG00000006464.1)". The record is from RNAcentral. Lineage: Eukaryota; Metazoa; Chordata; Aves; Passeriformes; Passerellidae.
CUCAAAGGCUGUACAAAGACUUCAGAAUUACUGUACCAGUGAAGAGAUUUACACCGUUAUUUGAAGAGAGGGUGUGCUGGAAGAGAUGGGUCAAUGAGUUAGAACUGCUGUGUGGCACUGGGAGGCAUGGGAGGAAAUGGCAAGGGGAAACACAGGAAGCCUCAGCAGGAGGUGGACAAAUCUCAGCUCCUAAGUCCUACAGAAACCUCCUGUUUGUCCUUUCAUGUUGCAAAUAAGACUUUACCACAGAGCUCUGGAACCCUCUCCCUUGUUCCUUGGUGUUGACCUCCAGGAUCAGGAAAGGCAAAUGUUUCUGUAGCACCCUGAAGGCUCAAGAGAAGCUGCUUCACCCUUCUGUGGGCGUGCAAACACUGAUGUGCAUUGCCCAGCCUCUUCCCAGCUGAUCUUCCCUGAUUGCUGCUGGUUCCUGAUGCUGCUCCUGCACAGCUGGGAAAUGAAAAGCACUUCUACCAAACAAAUAAAUAAAUAAAUCUGCUAUGAGAUUUCCUCCUUCCUCUGCCUGCCAGCAUCUCUGAGGACAGCAAUCAUGUUAUAAACUCCAGAGGAGGAAGCACUUGGAAAUGAAGAACACUGCAUGACCUCACACUAAUCAGAAUUGCUGUUGCUGAAUUUGGUGCAUCUGUGGCAUUGUUAAUAAUAAAAGCAAGCGAUGGAUCUUGCCCUGGCAGCUCCCUUUCAUUCAUUCCUGGCUGAGCAAAUGAGCAAAUGAAAGGGGCAUCUUGCAGAAAUACAGUUAGCAGAAAGCAAUGUAAUGAACAAGCUUGUUUUGGAAACCAUGAAGUGCUAUCAUCCGUAAGAAUAAUUCUGAAUAAACUCUCUGAUAGCCUCAAGCCCAGCCUGUUCUUUGUGGACUUGUGGGUAAUUGCCACGGUGAAGAACAUGCAUAUAUUAAAUUACAGGGUGUAAAUCCUGACAGCUUUGGAGCUUUUUGAUACUUCUGAAGAUGUACAUGAAGAGCUGUCAUGCCUUUUCUGAAGGUAAGAAUAAUUACCAUGCUUUCUUUUGGAGUAAAGGGAGAACCAGUAAG